CCCCUAGAUGUUCUGGGCCGCACGCGCGCUACACUGAACAGUUCAACAAGUCUUAACCUUGGCCGAUAGGUCUGGGUAAUCUUUGAACGCUGUUCGUGAUUGGGAUAGACCUUUGCAAUUAUGGGUCUUCAACGAGGAAUUCCUAGUAAACGCAAGUCAUCAGCUUGCAUUGAUUACGUCCCUGCCCUUUGUACACACCGCCCGUCGCACCUACCGAUUGAAUGGUCCGGUGAAAUCUUCGGAUCUGAGAGAUGUCUGAUUAAUUUCGGACGCCUUUUGGAAAAGUUGCUUAAGCCUUACCAUUUAGAGGAAGGUGAAGUCGUAACA
Molecule: ribosomal RNA, 327 nt
Filed under: uncultured eukaryote
Lineage: Eukaryota
Description: partial 18S ribosomal RNA
Rfam family: Eukaryotic small subunit ribosomal RNA
Source: RNAcentral